RNAcentral lists this ribosomal RNA (460 nucleotides) under uncultured bacterium. Its description in RNAcentral is "partial 16S ribosomal RNA". It matches the Rfam family "Bacterial small subunit ribosomal RNA", at positions 338 to 795 of the family's 1533-position model. The record is from RNAcentral.
CCUACGGGAGGCAGCAGUGAGGAAUAUUGGUCAAUGGACGCAAGUCUGAACCAGCCAUGCCGCGUGCAGGAAGACGGCUCUAUGAGUUGUAAACUGCUUUUGUACGAGGGUAAACGCAGAUACGCGUAUCUGUCUGAAAGUAUCGUACGAAUAAGGAUCGGCUAACUCCGUGCCAGCAGCCGCGGUAAUACGGAGGAUUCAAGCGUUAUCCGGAUUUAGUGGGUUUAAAGGGUGCGUAGGCGGUCGGAUAAGUUAGAGGUGAAAUCCCGCGGCUCAACUUCGGAAUUGCCUAUGAUACUGUUCGGCUAGAGAGUAGUUGCGGUAGGCGGAAUGUAUGGUGUAGCGGUGAAAUGCUUAGAGAUCAUACAGAACACCGAUUGCGAAGGCAGCUUACCAAGCUACUUCUGACGUUGAGGCACGAAAGCGUGGGGAGCAAACAGGAUUAGAUACCCCAGUAGUC